GCCGGGUGUGGCGGCUCACGCCUGUAAUCACAGCACUUUGGGAGGCCGAGGCAGGGGGAUUGCUUGAGCCCAGGAGUUUGAAAGCAGCCUGGGCAACAUAGCAAGACCCUGUCUCUG
This 117-nucleotide non-coding RNA is filed under the name Gorilla gorilla gorilla (western lowland gorilla). Lineage: Eukaryota; Metazoa; Chordata; Mammalia; Primates; Hominidae. The record is from Rfam by way of RNAcentral.